RNAcentral lists this long non-coding RNA (372 nucleotides) under Brassica rapa (field mustard). Its description in RNAcentral is "long non-coding RNA (BRAP_LNC008367)". Lineage: Eukaryota; Viridiplantae; Streptophyta; Magnoliopsida; Brassicales; Brassicaceae. The record is from RNAcentral.
AAAAAGAGUAGAGCUCUCCAAAGCCUAGGGAUUGGCCAGUGAGCUCUUGUGCCUUAGAACCAGUGUGGUUGGACACAAGAAGCUCUGGAUCACGGCCUAAUAGGUGCAGCAACUCUUCACAGCUUUGCGCACACUUCACACUUCAGCUUCACCUCUUCAUGGAACCGGUUUGAAGUCUCCCCCUCUCAACUGACUUCUCAGCCAUCUUAGAGAAGCUAGGACACGACAAGAUCAUCUUCAAAACACCAGUGAGGCUGAUCAACACUUCACACAUGGCUUGCCCUCUUCAUAGAACUGGUUUGAAUCUCCCCCUCUCAACAGACUUCACAGCCACCUUAGAGAAGCUAGGAAAUGACCAGGAACACCUUUAGU